UCAGGUGAUAAUGGCGGUGGUGAUCACCUCUUCCCAUUCCGAACAGAGAAGUUAAGCCCACUAGCGCCGAUGGUACUGCUUUAAUUGGUGGAAGAGUAGGUAGUUGCCUGUU
Molecule: ribosomal RNA, 112 nt
Filed under: Bacteroidales bacterium
Lineage: Bacteria; Pseudomonadati; Bacteroidota; Bacteroidia; Bacteroidales
Source: RNAcentral